RNAcentral lists this ribosomal RNA (498 nucleotides) under uncultured bacterium. Its description in RNAcentral is "partial 16S ribosomal RNA". It matches the Rfam family "Bacterial small subunit ribosomal RNA", at positions 28 to 506 of the family's 1533-position model. The record is from RNAcentral.
GACGAACGCUGGCGGCGUGCCUAAUACAUGCAAGUCGAGCGGACUGAAUGGGAGCUUGCUCUUGUUCGGUCAGCGGCGGACGGGUGAGUAACACGUGGGCAACCUGCCCGCAAGACCGGGAUAACUCCGGGAAACCGGAGCUAAUACCGGAUAACACCGAAGACCGCAUGGUCUUUGGUUGAAAGGCGGCGCAAGCUGCCACUUGCGGAUGGGCCCGCGGCGCAUUAGCUAGUUGGUGAGGUAACGGCUCACCAAGGCGACGAUGCGUAGCCGGCCUGAGAGGGUGACCGGCCACACUGGGACUGAGACACGGCCCAGACUCCUACGGGAGGCAGCAGUAGGGAAUCUUCCGCAAUGGGCGAAAGCCUGACGGAGCGACGCCGCGUGAGCGAAGAAGGCCUUCGGGUCGUAAAGCUCUGUUGUGAGGGACGAAGGAGCGCCGUUUGAAGAAGGCGGCGCGGUGACGGUACCUCACGAGGAAGCCCCGGCGAACUACGG